Molecule: long non-coding RNA, 482 nt
Organism: Corapipo altera (White-ruffed manakin)
Lineage: Eukaryota; Metazoa; Chordata; Aves; Passeriformes; Pipridae
Exons: 2
Source: RefSeq, a predicted model, not a curated record
UGCAUCCCAGUGCCUCCCAGUACAUCCCAGUACAUCCCAGUACCUCCCAGUUCCCCCCCAGGCGACUCCGGAGGCCCCGUCGUUGUCACGUGGGGGAAGCGCCACUUCCAGGUGGGCGUGGUCAGCUGGGGCGUGGUCCCCGUGUGCCACGAGCGCCGGGCCCCGUCCUACGCCCGCGACUUCCACGUGAGCCUGUUCGAGGUGCUGCCCUGGCUGAGGGAGAAGCUGCAGGACGAGGACCUGGGCUUCCUGCCCUGAGCCCUGGGGACACGCCAGCACACGCUGGGACACGCCAGAACACGCCAGCACACGCCAGGACACGCAGGGACACGCCAGGGACACGCCACGGCCACGCGACCCCACAGGGGUGGGAUGUUGGUGGGGGGGAUCAGAGGGGGCUGUGGGGACGAUUUCAGGGGUUCCUCUGGGUCUGGGGGGGUCCCAGUCCCUCCCCCCCGGGUGCCAAUAAACGUGGCCACGUC